This 472-nucleotide ribosomal RNA is filed under the name uncultured bacterium. Its description in RNAcentral is "partial 16S ribosomal RNA". It matches the Rfam family "Bacterial small subunit ribosomal RNA", at positions 28 to 507 of the family's 1533-position model. The record is from RNAcentral.
GACGAACGCUGGCGGCGUGCUUAACACAUGCCAGUCGAACGCUUAAGCUUGGUGCUUGCCCUGGGUGGAUGAGUGGCGAACGGGUGAGUAAUACGUGAGUAACCUGCCCUUGACUCUGGGAUAAGCCUGGGAAACUGGGUCUAAUACUGGAUACGACAUGUCACCGCAUGGUGGUGUGUGGAAAGGGUUUUACUGGUUUUGGAUGGGCUCACGGCCUAUCAGCUUGUUGGUGGGGUAAUGGCUCACCAAGGCGACGACGGGUAGCCGGCCUGAGAGGGUGACCGGCCACACUGGGACUGAGACACGGCCCAGACUCCUACGGGAGGCAGCAGUGGGGAAUAUUGCACAAUGGGCGAAAGCCUGAUGCAGCGACGCCGCGUGAGGGAUGACGGCCUUCGGGUUGUAAACCUCUUUCAGCACGGAAGAAGCGAAAGUGACGGUACGUGCAGAAGAAGCGCCGGCUAACUACGUG